AGUGAACGCUGGCGGUGGGCCUAACACAUGCAAGUCGAACGGCAGCACAGUAAGAGCUUGCUCUUACGGGUGGCGAGUGGCGGACGGGUGAGGAAUACAUCGGAAUCUACUUUUUCGUGGGGGAUAACGUAGGGAAACUUACGCUAAUACCGCAUACGACCUACGGGUGAAAGCAGGGGAUCUUCGGACCUUGCGCGAUUGAAUGAGCCGAUGUCGGAUUAGCUAGUUGGCGGGGUAAAAGCCCACCAAGGCGACGAUCCGUAGCUGGUCUGAGAGGAUGAUCAGCCACACUGGAACUGAGACACGGUCCAGACUCCUACGGGAGGCAGCAGUGGGGAAUAUUGGACAAUGGGCGCAAGCCUGAUCCAGCCAUACCGCGUGGGUGAAGAAGGCCUUCGGGUUGUAAAGCCCUUUUGUUGGGAAAGAAAAGCAGCAGGUUAAUACCCCGCUGUUCUGACGGUACCCAAAGAAUAAGCACCGGCUAACUUCGUG
This 492-nucleotide ribosomal RNA is filed under the name uncultured bacterium. RNAcentral's name for it is "partial 16S ribosomal RNA". It matches the Rfam family "Bacterial small subunit ribosomal RNA", at positions 29 to 507 of the family's 1533-position model. The record is from RNAcentral.